GAUGAACGCUGGCGGCGUGCCUAAUACAUGCAAGUCGAGCGAACGGACGAGAAGGUUGCUUCUCUGAUGUUAGAGGCGGACGUGUGAGUAACACGUGGAUAACCCACCUAUAUGACUGGGAUAACUUCGUGGAACCGGAGCUAAUACCGGACAUUAUUUUGAACCGCAUGGUUCAAAAGUGAUAGACGGUCGGGCUGUCACUUAUGCCUGUAUCCGCGCUGGAUUUGCGAGUUGGUAAGGUAACGGCUUACCAAGGCAACGAUGCAUAGCCGACCUAAGAGGGGGACCGGCCACACGGGAACGAGGACACGGUCCAGACUCCUACGGGAGGCAGCAGUAGGGAUCCUACGGCAAUGGGCGAAAGCCUAAAGGAGAAACGCCGCGUGAGUGUGGAAGGUCUUCGGAUCGUAAAACUCUGUUAUCAGGGAGGAACAUAUGUGUAAGUAACUGGGCAAAGCUUGACGGUACCGAAACAGAAAGCCACGGCUAACUACGUG
RNAcentral lists this ribosomal RNA (497 nucleotides) under uncultured bacterium. Its description in RNAcentral is "partial 16S ribosomal RNA". It matches the Rfam family "Bacterial small subunit ribosomal RNA", at positions 28 to 507 of the family's 1533-position model. The record is from RNAcentral.